GGCUUAUUAGCUCAGUUGGUUAGAGCGUCGUGCUAAUAACGCGAAGGUCGCGGGUUCGAUCCCCUCAUAAGCCA
Fopius arisanus is the source of this 74-nucleotide non-coding RNA. The record is from the annotation of a RefSeq genome assembly. Lineage: Eukaryota; Metazoa; Arthropoda; Insecta; Hymenoptera; Braconidae.